AUGAAGAUCUACUCUGUGUCAACUAGGCAUUAUUUUUCUUUUGGUGCCCUACUAUCUGACGAACUCGCCGGCAAACUCAGAGAGUUGCCUAAGGUCCGUUGGGUUCUUCCUGAUUCAUACGUGGAUGUAAGAAAUAAGGACUAUGGGGGAGAACCAUUUGUAGAUGGACAGGCUGUUCCUUACGACCCCAAAUACCAUGAGGAGUGGGUGAGAGGCAUUUUUGCAAUGCAGUUUCGACGGUGGUCUCUUACAGGUGUGCAUAUUCAAAAGUGGUGCCAUAGCGCAGAGGAGGCUAUUCCACAGGUCAAAAAGGGCCCAACACUUUCUGUAAGCACGUUCAUUCGACAUAAAUAA
Molecule: ribosomal RNA, 354 nt
Filed under: Triticum aestivum (bread wheat)
Lineage: Eukaryota; Viridiplantae; Streptophyta; Magnoliopsida; Poales; Poaceae
Description: partial small subunit ribosomal RNA
Source: RNAcentral